GCUCAUUUUAUCGUUCAUCAAUAUGACGUCGAAGUAGAGUGAUAUUCGCAUUUCCGUCCAAGGACAUAAACUGUCACGGGACAGAAAAGCCAAAGUUGGUGGCAACUUAAAUCAUCUCAUACAAUAAAGCCCCAAAACGAAUUGGAACUUCAUUUCUCCCAAACUCCAAACCCUAAACAUUUCCUACACUCUCUCAAACUCUCCUCCAUGAAUCAAGAUCAGAUCCAAGAGCUAAACAAGUAAUUAUAACGUAAGUAAUCACGUAGUACUCGUAGAAAUAGUCGUUUCUCCGUCGUUUCGCUUUUCGGAAGGAUUCUUCAACUUGAAGUAAUCUUGGUGCUGGGGUGUUUUUUCAUAAAUUAAGGUAAUCAUUCGUAAGAUAUUCAAGGACUCGUGGAAUGUGGAAAACUUCAUUGUUAAGGUACAGGUAGACGGAUUGGUGUACCUUUCUCAGCAGGGUACCAGAGUUCAGCAGGGAUGUUCGCACUCCAUUCUCCGGAGUUGCUGGUCAGGGUCAUCAAAUAGGAUGCAUGCAUGUAUAUACAUAUGUUUAGAUGGUGUUGGGUACGGCGGGGCCGUGUCCCAACCAGAUGUUGCAUUUUAGUACUCUUAGAGGCUUACAGACUAUCAGUUAAUAUUGAUGUGUUUUGUUGGCCUUGUCGGCCUCAGUUAUGCAUAUAUAUGUUAUUGGGCCUUGUCAG
Molecule: long non-coding RNA, 701 nt
Organism: Lycium barbarum (goji berry)
Lineage: Eukaryota; Viridiplantae; Streptophyta; Magnoliopsida; Solanales; Solanaceae
Exons: 3
Source: RefSeq, a predicted model, not a curated record